UCAGUAGGCGGCCAACUAAGUCCGACGUGAAAUCCCAAAGCUUAACUUUGGAACUGCGUCGGAUACUGGAUGGCUUGAAUUCGGGAGAGGGAUGCAGAAUUCCAGGUGUAGCGGUGAAAUGCGUAGAUAUCUGGAGGAAUACCGGUGGCGAAGGCGGCAUCCUGGACCGACAUUGACGCUGAACGACGAAAGCUAGGGAGCAAACG
Molecule: ribosomal RNA, 206 nt
Filed under: uncultured bacterium
Lineage: Bacteria
Description: partial 16S ribosomal RNA
Rfam family: Bacterial small subunit ribosomal RNA
Source: RNAcentral